AACGAACGCUGGCGGCAGGCUUAACACAUGCAAGUCGAACGAGAAGCAUGUUUUCGGACAUGUGGAAAGUGGCGCACGGGUGAGUAACGCGUGGGGACCUACCAUUCUGUAGAGGAUAACUGUUGGAAACGACAGCUAAUACUGUAUACGCCCUUCGGGGGAAAGAUUUAUCGCAGAUUGAUGGACCCGCGUCUGAUUAGCUAGUUGGUGAGGUAAGAGCUCACCAAGGCGACGAUCAGUAGCUGGUUUGAGAGGAUGAUCAGCCACACUGGGACUGAGACACGGCCCAG
RNAcentral lists this ribosomal RNA (290 nucleotides) under uncultured bacterium. RNAcentral describes it as "partial 16S ribosomal RNA". It matches the Rfam family "Bacterial small subunit ribosomal RNA", at positions 29 to 334 of the family's 1533-position model. The record is from RNAcentral.